UACGGGGGGGGUAAGCGUUGUUCGGAAUUACUGGGCGUAAAGGGCUCGUAGGCGGCCAACUAAGUCAGACGUGAAAUCCCUCAGCUUAACUGGGGAACUGCGUCUGAUACUGGAUGGCUUGGAUUUGGGAGAGGGAUGCGGAAUUCCAGGUGUAGCGGUGAAAUGCGUAGAUAUCUGGAGGAACACCGGUGGCGAAGGCGGCAUCCUGGACCAAUAUUGACGCUGAGGAGCGAAAGCCAGGGGAACAAACGGG
RNAcentral lists this ribosomal RNA (253 nucleotides) under uncultured bacterium. Its description in RNAcentral is "partial 16S ribosomal RNA". It matches the Rfam family "Bacterial small subunit ribosomal RNA", at positions 524 to 776 of the family's 1533-position model. The record is from RNAcentral.